GACGAGGCACUACGGUGCUGAAGCAACAAAUGCCCUGCUUCCAGGAAAAGCCUCUAAGCAUCAGGUAACAUCAAAUCGUACCCCAAACCGACACAGGUGGUCAGGUAGAGAAUACCAAGGCGCUUGAGAGAACUCGGGUGAAGGAACUAGGCAAAAUGGUGCCGUAACUUCGGGAGAAGGCACGCUGACACGUAGGUGAAGUGAUUUACUCAUGGAGCUGAAGUCAGUCGAAGAUACCAGCUGGCUGCAACUGUUUAUUAAAAACACAGCACUGUGCAAACACGAAAGUGGACGUAUACGGUGUGACGCCUGCCCGGUGCCGGAAGGUUAAUUGAUGGGGUCAGCGCAAGCGAAGCUCCUGAUCGAAGCCCCGGUAAACGGCGGCCGUAACUAUAACGGUCCUAAGGUAGCGAAAUUCCUUGUCGGGUAAGUUCCGACCUGCACGAAUGGCGUAAUGAUGGCCAGGCUGUCUCCACCCGAGACUCAGUGAAAUUGAACUCGCUGUGAAGAUGCAGUGUACCCGCGGCAAGACGGAAAGACCCCGUGAACCUUUACUAUAGCUUGACACUGAACAUUGAGCCUUGAUGUGUAGGAUAGGUGGGAGGCUUUGAAGUGUGGACGCCAGUCUGCAUGGAGCCGACCUUGAAAUACCACCCUUUAAUGUUUGAUGUUCUAACGUGGACCCGUGAUCCGGGUUGCGGACAGUGUCUGGUGGGUAGUUUGACUGGGGCGGUCUCCUCCUAAAGAGUAACGGAGGAGCACGAAGGUUGGCUAAUCCUGGUCGGACAUCAGGAGGUUAGUGCAAUGGCAUAAGCCAGCUUGACUGCGAGCGUGACGGCGCGAGCAGGUGCGAAAGCAGGUCAUAGUGAUCCGGUGGUUCUGAAUGGAAGGGCCAUCGCUCAACGGAUAAAAGGUACUCCGGGGAUAACAGGCUGAUACCGCCCAAGAGUUCAUAUCGACGGCGGUGUUUGGCACCUCGAUGUCGGCUCAUCACAUCCUGGGGCUGAAGUAGGUCCCAAGGGUAUGGCUGUUCGCCAUUUAAAGUGGUACGCGAGCUGGGUUUAGAACGUCGUGAGACAGUUCGGUCCCUAUCUGCCGUGGGCGCUGGAGAACUGAGGGGGGCUGCUCCUAGUACGAGAGGACCGGAGUGGACGCAUCACUGGUGUUCGGGUUGUCAUGCCAAUGGCACUGCCCGGUAGCUAAAUGCGGAAGAGAUAAGUGCUGAAAGCAUCUAAGCACGAAACUUGCCCCGAGAUGAGUUCUCCCUGAGACUUAGAGUCUCCUGAAGGAACGUUGAAGACGACGACGUUGAUAGGCCGGGUGUGUAAGCGCAGCGAUGCGUUGAGCUAACCGGUACUAAUGAACCGUGAGGCUUAACCUUACAACGCCGAAG
This 1393-nucleotide ribosomal RNA is filed under the name Salmonella enterica. RNAcentral's name for it is "bacterial LSU rRNA". It matches the Rfam family "Bacterial large subunit ribosomal RNA", at positions 1568 to 2925 of the family's 2925-position model. Lineage: Bacteria; Pseudomonadati; Pseudomonadota; Gammaproteobacteria; Enterobacterales; Enterobacteriaceae. RNAcentral also lists the same sequence under 3 other names. The record is from RNAcentral.